Molecule: ribosomal RNA, 374 nt
Filed under: uncultured bacterium
Lineage: Bacteria
Description: bacterial SSU rRNA
Rfam family: Bacterial small subunit ribosomal RNA
Source: RNAcentral
UACGGAGGUGGCAAGCGUUACUCGGAAUUAUUGGGUGUAAAGGGCAGGUAGGUGGUCUUGUAAGUGAGGGGUGAAAUCCCAUGGUUCAAUCAUGGAACUGCCUUUCAAACUGGAGGACUUGAGAGUGUUAGGGGAGAAUGGAAUUCCCGGUGUAAGGGUGAAAUCUGUAGAUAUCGGGAAGAACACCAACAGCGAAGGCAAUUCUCUGGGACACUUCUGACGCUGAACUGCGAAAGCUAGGGGAGCAAACAGAAUUAGAUACUCUGGUAGUCCUAGCCGUAAACGAUGAAUACUAGGUGUUGGUCCUUUCGGGGAUCAGUGCCGAAGCUAACGCAUUAAGUAUUCCACCUGGGGACUACGAUCGCAAGGUUAAA